UACGGAGGAUGCGAGCGUUAUCCGGAUUUAUUGGGUUUAAAGGGUGCGUAGGCGGGCUUUUAAGUCGGCGGUAAAAAUUCGGGGCUCAACCCCGUCCGGCCGUUGAAACUGGGGGCCUUGAGUGGGCGAGAAGAAGGCGGAAUGCGUGGUGUAGCGGUGAAAUGCAUAGAUAUCACGCAGAACCCCGAUUGCGAAGGCAGCCUUCCGGCGCCCUACUGACGCUGAGGCACGAAAGUGCGGGGAUCGAACAGG
This 252-nucleotide ribosomal RNA is filed under the name uncultured bacterium. RNAcentral's name for it is "partial 16S ribosomal RNA". It matches the Rfam family "Bacterial small subunit ribosomal RNA", at positions 524 to 776 of the family's 1533-position model. The record is from RNAcentral.